CGCCUCUGAGGGGUGUGAGAGGGCUCACGCGUGCACACACACAUACACCUCCUUCUUCACUUUUCAGCAAGAGGAGGCUGGAUAUGCUCCACUCCCUCCCCCGCAACCCCUAUCAGGGCUAAUAGAAAGAAGACUGGCAUUAAAAAGAGAGGCUGUGGUCAAAUUCUGAAAAUGGGACAAAACUCCAAAGGGCAUCAAGAUAUGGCAGAUGUAGAUUCUGGAAUCCUUCUUGGAAUUUGCACGUGCUGGAGAGAAAUUUGGCACGAAACAGAAAAUAGUCCACCAUCAACUUCAGCCUCCUGUCUGUUUCCAGCCAAACCUGGCUGCUUCAUGGUCAGCAGCAGUGCUGUUCUCCCACCACAGCUCAGUUCUGCUCAACGACUAUUUUUAGGGUAGCCAUUCAACAAACUCAAGGUUGUCUCUGCCCUCUGGAUGCUCACAAUCUAGUGAGGAGACAGACUUGGCAACAACUCAUCUUACUGCAGGCUGGCGGCUGCAGUAGCUGAGCAGGAGCCCAGAGCUGGAGCUCGCCAAUGCUGCCAGUUAUCUAUUCCCUAGUGUCUGGGAGAAAGAAUGGUGGGCACAGUUCAUUAUCCGAAAGAAAACAGACCCACUAGUAGCUGGUCAUUAACACACACAGACUUCUGGCCUGGGAGGUGGGACUUACAUAUAUUCACUUUCUCCCAAAGGAUAACUUCUGGAGUCAGCCUGGAGCAGAUACUUGGAAGUCCAUUUUACACAAAGGGCCCUUCCCUUUUCCUUAUUUACCUUCAAUCCUUCCUCUGGGGCCCUACUUCUUCCUGCUGCUGCCCCUUGUGGGAAGGUGGAGGAGAUCACUCUUUCUAACUCCUUCCUGGGGGCCUCACAAUGAAUCAAGUCCUGUCUUCCUCAGUGUGGCAUCUACAAACCAACCAACCAACAAGCUGCUCUCUUGCUCAUAGAGACUGUCUCUCAGAGCACCAGGAUGAUGUGCUCUUAUGCUCAAAUAGCUCCUCUUUACUAGAGAUGAGGGCGGAGGAGGAACAUAAGGGUGAAGGGACUGUGGGGGACACAGAAGUCCUUCAUACCACACUCUCCUACGGUUGGAUCUCUUUGAGCCCUCAAAGUGGGAAUUCAGCUUCCUUCCAGCUUAAUGAGUUGGGAGACUGUGGGAAGGAAGGGGAGCACCCUGUGCUUUGUACACUCAGAAGCAUCUACCACAAGGAAGGUGUCUUCCCUGGGUUCAGGCAUUCAGUGGAAUCAGUCAAGAGCUGGGCAUUUUCUGGAAAUCGCUGGGAGCUGUCCUAUAUCCUGUGCUCCAGACCCUCAGUUCUCCCAGUGAUGAGGAGAAGUGUUGUUUCAGAAGAAAAGCAGAGGAAAGGCUUUCUGAAUAUCAAGACCAUGGGCUUUUCUUAAUACAAAGCCAAAGGCCAGAGAUGUGUCAGAAUACACAAGAACCAUGCUGUCCAAUACACUAGCCAAGUGUGGCCAUUCCAACUUAAGUUGAAAUUAGUUAAAGUGAAAUAAAACUAAAAAAUUCAGCUGCAUGGUCUGACCAGUCACAUUUCAAGUGCUCAAUAGCCUCAUGUGGCUGGUGGCUACCAUAUUAGACAGUGGAGAUAUUAGAGAACCUUUCCAUUAGCACUGAAAGUUCUAUUCGACAGUGUUUCCUUAGGAGAAAAAGGCAGGGAGUUUUGUCUGUUUUGUCCACUACUACUGCCCUAGGGCCUAGAUCUGUGUCUGGCACAAAGGAGAGGGAUCUGUAAAUUUUUGUUAAAUGAGUACUAGAGAAGUUAGAGCCAGUUUUCCAUCACGUCUAUCCCUUCACCCAACUGAUCUCAGCUAGAUAGAGUCUGCCCAGAUUGGGGAGGAAGAAAAGAAAGAGGAGAGAACUGGAGAGAGGAUUGUAGUCCUCCAUGGAUAAACCCCUGAGAAGAGCUCUGAGGCUCUGGCAGCCUCCCUGCAUUGUGCUCUGACUUAACUCUGUUGUGGGUUUAAGGGAGGGGAGCAAAGAAAAAACCCAAAUAGGUUGGUGAAUCCAAGAGCAAGAAGAGUCUCGUGCCUGGUCCCAAAGCAUGCAAUGGAUUGCACCAGAGUUUCUCCACAUCCCAGCUUGGGGCUGGAGCCAAAGAGCGGUCAACUGGGAUGUGCCCAGUGACUAUCACAGUGCUUCACACAUAAUAGGUGCUCAACAAUUCAAUGCUAAAUGUAUCAGUGAACGAACAAGUGACCCAACUGGAUGGAGUAAGGGCAGGAGAAGUGUCAAUGCAUAAACGGGCAAAGUAAGAAUGAAGACGUUUCUCUUCUGAAUCCAGAGUGGCUGUUUUGUACGUGUCUAGACUGUGCGUGCUGAAGAUGUUCCUUUUGGGUUCAGCUGAGUCUGAGAAACAAGAACACUCACACUUUGCAUCUUUCCAAUCCUGGAGAAGUUGCUAUAGAAAACAAUGCUUUGGAAAGAAUUGAAAAGUCCUGCAAUGAGCAGGUGUUUCUUGAGUACCUCCUGUGCGCUCAGCAUCGCUGUAGGGCCCUUGGAUAAGUGUACACUAGAGAAACACACCUAAUCAAUAAAGUAGUUUUGCAGACCAGAAACAAUUAGAAGAAGACACGAUACACUGUGGAGCUGUAAAAGAGCAACGUAGUCUGGCAAAGCCAAGGAAGGCUUCCCAGAGGGGAUGAGACCAGGACCGGGCCUGAAGGAUGGGUUGGAUUUGGAUAAGGAAAGAGAGGCUGUAGAGCAUUUCAGGGAAACCACACACAAAGGCCUGAAGGAGGAGCAGAUUGGAGGUGAUGUGUAGCAUAGUGGUGAUUAUUCAUUCCUGGAGUACCCUCUGUGUGCUCAGCCAUGACACUAAGCAAUGAAAAACAGACAACCUGUCCUCAAGGAGCUCGAGUCUGGGAGGUGGGGAAUGGAAGGACAGAUACUAAAACAAAUACAGGUGAUGUAUGUGUAUUAUUUCACAAGAAUGUAACCCAAAGCAAA
RNAcentral lists this long non-coding RNA (2959 nucleotides) under Equus caballus (horse). RNAcentral describes it as "lncRNA (ENSECAG00000051428.1)". Lineage: Eukaryota; Metazoa; Chordata; Mammalia; Perissodactyla; Equidae. The record is from RNAcentral.